GUGCUUGCUUCAGUAGCACAUAUACUAGAAUUGGAAUGAUACAGAGAAGAUUAGCAUGGCCACUGUGCAAGGAUGACAUGCAAACAUAACCAUCAAAUGAGACCUCC
Molecule: small nuclear RNA, 107 nt
Organism: Ochotona princeps (American pika)
Lineage: Eukaryota; Metazoa; Chordata; Mammalia; Lagomorpha; Ochotonidae
Source: RefSeq, a predicted model, not a curated record